AGGGGAUCGAGAGAAUCAUGGUGAAGGAACUCGGCAAAAUGCCCCCGUAACUUCGGGAGAAGGGGGGCCAUCCACUUAUUCGGAUUUACUCCGGAAAGGGUGUGGUGGCCGCAGAGACCAGUGGGAAGCGACUGUUUACUAAAAACACAGGUCCGUGCGAACAAGCAAUUGGAUGUAUACGGACUGACGCCUGCCCGGUGCUGGAAGGUUAAGAGGAGAGGUCAACCCUUCGGGGUGAAGCUUUGAAUUUAAGCCCCAGUAAACGGCGGUGGUAACUAUAACCAUCCUAGGUAGCGAAAUUCCUUGUCGGGUAAGUUCCGACCUGCACGAAUGGCGUAACGACUUCCCAGCUGUCUCCACCAUGAACUCGGCGAAAUUGCACUACGAGUAAAGAUGCUCGUUACGCGCAGAAGGACGGAAAGACCCCGUGACCUUUACUACAGCUUGGUAUUGGUGUUCGGUGUGGCUUGUGUAGGAUAGGUGGGAGACUGUGAAGCAGGGACGCUAGUUCUUGUGGAGUCAUUGUUGAAAUACCACUCUGGUCAUAUUGGAUAUCUAACUACGGACCCUGAUCGGGUUCUGGGACAGUGCCUGGUGGGUAGUUUAACUGGGGCGGUUGCCUCCUAAAGAGUAACGGAGGCACCCAAAGGUUCCCUCAACCUGGUUGGCAAUCAGGUGGCGAGUGUAAGUGCACAAGGGAGCUUGACUGUGAGACUGACAGGUCGAGCAGGGACGAAAGUCUGGACUAGUGAUCCGGCAGUGGCUUGUGGAAGCGCUGUCGCUCAACGGAUAAAAGGUACCUCGGGGAUAACAGGCUGAUCUUGCCCAAGAGUCCAUAUCGACGGCAUGGUUUGGCACUUCGAUGUCGGCUCGUCGCAUCCUGGGGCUGGAGUAGGUCCCAAGGGUUGGGCUGUUCGCCCAUUAAAGCGGUACGCGAGCUGGGUUUAGAACGUCGUGAGACAGUUCGGUCCCUAUCCUCUGCGCGCGUUGGAAAUUUGAGAGGAUCUGACCCUAGUACGAGAGGACCGGGUUGGACGGACCUCUGGUGUGCCAGUUGUUCUGCCAAGGGCAUGGCUGGUUGGCUACGUUCGGGAUGGAUAACCGCUGAAAGCAUCUAAGCGGGAGGCCGGCCUCGAGAUGAGAUUUCCGUCACCCUUGUGGUGGUGAGGCUCCCAGGAGAUUACUGGGUUGAUAGGCCAGAUGUGGAAGCACUGUAAGGUGUGGAGCUGACUGGUACUAAUAAGCCGAUGGCUUG
This 1255-nucleotide ribosomal RNA is filed under the name metagenome. RNAcentral describes it as "bacterial LSU rRNA". It matches the Rfam family "Bacterial large subunit ribosomal RNA", at positions 1684 to 2925 of the family's 2925-position model. The record is from RNAcentral.